Long non-coding RNA from Tribolium castaneum (red flour beetle), 753 nucleotides. RefSeq lists it as uncharacterized. The transcript has 2 exons. Lineage: Eukaryota; Metazoa; Arthropoda; Insecta; Coleoptera; Tenebrionidae. The record is from RefSeq and is a predicted model, not a curated record.
AGGAACCGUGAUUUUUUGACCUUCGUCGCUCCACGCUGAACUUCUCUCGUCCCGGUGAUCCCAUGAUCCAAAUAUUUGCGCUAAUUAUAAUAUGACCAUGGCUGUAUGCGUCCACUUGGUCUUAGCCGAAGUGGCGGAUGCAGCGCUACUUGCUUUUGGCAUUGCCAAGCUUGCAUAAUGCACGAGGAAAGGUGUAUGUUAUUUUUGGGGCUAUACCCAGAUGAGCUGUAUUGUUGGAACGGUUCCUCUCAGCUGUUCCCUCGUGUCUGCUUGUGCCACUUGCUUGCUCAUCGUCCUCUGUGAACGUGUGCCUCAGCAGCACCGCGUGAGAUACGCUCUUUGCUUUGCGAAAAUUUUCGUUUUAGGUGCUUUCAAUGGAUGUUGGCUGAUUCGGGCACGUUCGCAGUCCAUUUCUUCCGGUCUGCUUCCGGGCUUCAUCUCCGGACUUCCGGAACGUGGUGGGCUCCGUGCCAGAUGCGCGUUUACACUGCACCGUUCUAAAGAAUUCUGUAAAUGCACUAUCUGGUACGACAGCCCACUACGUGCACUCGUCUCUUUUAAUUUUGCCUUCUUUUCGUUUCACUUACCACAAGUAUCAUUGCGCUUGCCACUAGAUGUGCUCCGCUUCGACUCGAGUUGUGAAAGAAAUUGAAAGUUGACGAAAAUCAAUGUCCCGCUUUCAAUUUUCUGUCAAGUGUACGAUCCUUUGUUACUUUGUACGUUUUUAUUGAAAAUAAACAGUUUUACGACAAA